Molecule: ribosomal RNA, 433 nt
Filed under: uncultured bacterium
Lineage: Bacteria
Description: partial 16S ribosomal RNA
Rfam family: Bacterial small subunit ribosomal RNA
Source: RNAcentral
AACGAACGCUGGCGGCAUGCCUAACACAUGCAAGUCGAACGAGACCUUCGUGUCUAGUGGCGCACGGGUGCGUAACGCGUGGGAACCUGCCCUUAGGUUCGGAAUAACUCCCCGAAAGGGGUGCUAAUACCGGAUAAUGUCUUCGGACCAAAGAUUUAUCGCCUUUGGAUGGGCCCGCGUUGGAUUAGCUAGUUGGUAGGGUAAAAGCCUACCAAGGCGACGAUCCAUAGCUGGUCUGAGAGGAUGAUCAGCCACACUGGGACUGAGACACGGCCCAGACUCCUACGGGAGGCAGCAGUGGGGAAUAUUGGACAGUGGGCGAAAGCCUGAUCCAGCAAUGCAGCGUGAGUGAUGAAGGCCUUAGGGUUGUAAAGCUCUUUUACCCGGGAUGAUAAUGACAGUACCGGGAGAAUAAGCUCCGGCUAACUCCGUG